This 292-nucleotide ribosomal RNA is filed under the name uncultured bacterium. Its description in RNAcentral is "partial 16S ribosomal RNA". It matches the Rfam family "Archaeal small subunit ribosomal RNA", at positions 455 to 747 of the family's 1478-position model. The record is from RNAcentral.
GUGCCAGCCGCCGCGGUAAUACCGGCAGCCCGAGUGAUGGCCGAUCUUAUUGGGCCUAAAGCGUCGUAGCUGGCCGCGCAAGUCCAUCGGGAAAUCCACCCGCCCAACGGGUGGCCGUCCGGUGGAAACUGCACGGCUUGGGACCGGAAGGCGCGACGGGUACGUCCAGGGUAGGAGUGAAAUCCCGUAAUCCUGGACGGACCACCGAUGGCGAAAGCACCUCGAGAAGACGGCUCCGACGGUGAGGGACGAAAGCCAGGGUCUCCAACCGGAUUAGAAACCCGGGUAGUCC